RNAcentral lists this ribosomal RNA (228 nucleotides) under Escherichia coli. RNAcentral's name for it is "partial 23S ribosomal RNA". It matches the Rfam family "Bacterial large subunit ribosomal RNA", at positions 2703 to 2925 of the family's 2925-position model. Lineage: Bacteria; Pseudomonadati; Pseudomonadota; Gammaproteobacteria; Enterobacterales; Enterobacteriaceae. RNAcentral also lists the same sequence under 1 other name. The record is from RNAcentral.
GCAUCACUGGUGUUCGGGUUGUCAUGCCAAUGGCACUGCCCGGUAGCUAAAUGCGGAAGAGAUAAGUGCUGAAAGCAUCUAAGCACGAAACUUGCCCCGAGAUGAGUUCUCCCUGACCCUUUAAGGGUCCUGAAGGAACGUUGAAGACGACGACGUUGAUAGGCCGGGUGUGUAAGCGCAGCGAUGCGUUGAGCUAACCGGUACUAAUGAACCGUGAGGCUUAACCUU